Non-coding RNA from Oncorhynchus mykiss (rainbow trout), 423 nucleotides. NCBI's taxonomy places the organism in Eukaryota, Metazoa, Chordata, Actinopteri, Salmoniformes, Salmonidae. The record is from the annotation of a RefSeq genome assembly.
AUGAGAUUUCUAGAAUGCAUGUUCCUCCUGGCUCUCAUCUCAGCUGUUCAGGGACAGUCACUCACCUCCUCUGAGCCAGUGGUGAAGAGCCCUGGAGAGUCAGUAACACUGGCCUAUGCUGUGUCUGGACUACCCCUGAGCUGGUUACACUGGAUCCAUCAGAAACCUGGGAAAGGUUUGGGCUUGAGGUUUGAGUGGUUUGAGUGGAUUGGGCUCAUUGACAGUGGCACUGGCACUAUAUUUGCCCAAUCUCUACAUGGUCAGUUCACCAUCACCAAAGACAGCUCCAAAAACCAGCUGUACCUCGAGGUAAAAAGCCUGAAGACCAAAGACUCUGCUGUUUAUUAUUGUGCCAGAGACACAGUGACAAAGAAGCUUGUGUUUGUUGUGAUGUCAGACUGGAUCAGUCAAGGAGACUGUUAA